Molecule: long non-coding RNA, 458 nt
Filed under: Pan troglodytes (chimpanzee)
Lineage: Eukaryota; Metazoa; Chordata; Mammalia; Primates; Hominidae
Description: long non-coding RNA NONPTRT012791
Source: RNAcentral
AACAACACUCACAAGAUGACAAAAUAUAAGGUGGGAAGAGAGUCAGACGAAAGUAGAAUUGUAAAGGGCAAAGCAGAAAUGAAAGGUCAAUCCCUACAGAGCAGGUUAUUUACAGAACUCAGUAAAGGGAAAUGUAGGCUUAUAGUAAGAAAUAACUAAUAAAAAUCUAUUAUCUAUACUUCAGAGUCAGACUUGAAAGGGAACUAGGGAAACUUGCCUCAAUUAAAACUUAACUAUUUCUGGGAUAAGAAUUUGGCUUUAGGGAAAGCAAUUCACUGUUUGACAUGAGUGCAAUGAAAUGACAUUGAAUUUUUAAUAAGAAUUACUAUUGCUAUUUUAUUAAUAUUUGAGAAUUACAUCUCAGAAAUUUUUCUGACUUAUUUUUCCAAUUAUGUAAGUCUGUAUGAAACAGCUGUGUAUUCCUUAACAAUUCUUAAUUCAUAGAUAAAAAGUUAUUC